Molecule: ribosomal RNA, 459 nt
Filed under: uncultured bacterium
Lineage: Bacteria
Description: partial 16S ribosomal RNA
Rfam family: Bacterial small subunit ribosomal RNA
Source: RNAcentral
CCUACGGGUGGUAGCAGUGAGGAAUAUUGGUCAAUGGCCGGAAGGCUGAACCAGCCAAGUCGCGUGAGGGACGACUGCCCUAUGGGUUGUAAACCUCUUUUAUAAGGGAAGAAUAAAUGCUACGUGUAGCAUGAUGCCUGUACCUUAUGAAUAAGCAUCGGCUAACUCCGUGCCAGCAGCCGCGGUAAUACGGAGGAUGCGAGCGUUAUCCGGAUUUAUUGGGUUUAAAGGGUGCGUAGGCGGUAGAUCAAGUCAGCGGUAAAAUGUCGGGGCUCAACCCCGGCCGGCCGUUGAAACUGGUUUUCUAGAGUUGGAGAGAAGUAUGCGGAAUUCGUGGUGUAGCGGUGAAAUGCAUAGAUAUCACGAAGAACUCCGAUUGCGAAGGCAGCAUACCGGCUCCAUACUGACGCUGAGGCACGAAAGCGUGGGGAUCGAACAGGAUUAGAUACCCGAGUAGUC